This 507-nucleotide unclassified non-coding RNA is filed under the name Lecanicillium sp. 14Lec-5. Its description in RNAcentral is "partial contains ITS1, 5.8S rRNA and ITS2". The stretch from base 190 to 343 matches the Rfam family "5.8S ribosomal RNA". The record is from RNAcentral. Lineage: Eukaryota; Fungi; Ascomycota; Sordariomycetes; Hypocreales; Cordycipitaceae. RNAcentral also lists the same sequence under 5 other names.
CAGAGUUUACAACUCCCAAACCCACAUGUGAACAUACCAAACGUUGCUUCGGCGGACCCGCCCCGGCGUCCGGACGGCCCCACAAGGCCGCCCGCGGCCCGGAAUCAGACGACCGCCGGAGACCAAACCAAAACUUUUUGUAUUCUCAGUUUCUUCUGAAUCCGCCGCAAGGCAAAACAAAUGAAUCAAAACUUUCAACAACGGAUCUCUUGGUUCUGGCAUCGAUGAAGAACGCAGCGAAAUGCGAUAAGUAAUGUGAAUUGCAGAAUUCAGUGAAUCAUCGAAUCUUUGAACGCACAUUGCGCCCGCCAGCAUUCUGGCGGGCAUGCCUGUUCGAGCGUCAUUUCAACCCUCGAGCUCCCUUUGGGGAGCCCGGCGUUGGGGCACGGCUGUACCGCCGGCCCCGAAAUGGAGUGGCGGCCCGUCCGCGGCGACCUCUGCGUAGUAACAACCACUCGCACCGGAACCCCGACGUGGCCACGCCGUAAAACACCCAACUUUCUGAAC